Molecule: long non-coding RNA, 537 nt
Organism: Ornithodoros turicata
Lineage: Eukaryota; Metazoa; Arthropoda; Arachnida; Ixodida; Argasidae
Exons: 4
Source: RefSeq, a predicted model, not a curated record
UCAUAGCUUGUAAUCCUUAGCCAAUCUCCCUUGGUGGAUAACGGCCAGCAUUUGAGUUCGAAGAAGCAGAAGAAGAAGAAGAUUUGUCGCGACGGUUUCCGAAGGGCUCGCAUUUACGUUACAACAUGGGAAAUGUGUUUGGGAACUGCUUCCAGGUGAAGAUGACGUCACGGAAGAUUGCGAGAGAUGAGAUCGGAAGGCCAUCAAAUUUUCAGCAUAACACCCACCUGAGCUCCAUUGAUUACGGUCGCUAUUUACACGCGUCAGAUUCCCUGAGGCGAAAAAUGGCUUCGAAAACAGGCGGAGGGACAGGGACAGGAGGAGUGAUUGCUUGAGGGAUUCUUCUUUCUCGUAUCCCUAUCCAAAGACCGAUGGAUCUCCUUGGACAAGGUUUCCACUGAAUGCUCCGAAGCAGUGCAACACGAAAGACUCGCUUCACAUGUCAUCCUGUUUAUCCCAUUCGAUCAUCCUUGUUUUGAACGAUCGCUUUCUUUUUCUUUUUUCUCUCUCUCUUUUCUUUUUUUUUCCUUCAGUAAA